RNAcentral lists this long non-coding RNA (946 nucleotides) under Astyanax mexicanus (Mexican tetra). RNAcentral describes it as "lncRNA (ENSAMXG00005006522.1)". Lineage: Eukaryota; Metazoa; Chordata; Actinopteri; Characiformes; Acestrorhamphidae. The record is from RNAcentral.
CUGCAAUGCAUUUUUAAAUCCAGCAGAUGCCGCCAUUAAGUAACACAGCAAAACAGUUUCAACACAGUGUUGACACAGUUUGGGAAAUGUGCCUUACACCUAAUGAGGCCUCAUCUGCCCAUUAUAGGGUCCAGCACUAGUAUCAACUAAAUUCCAUAAACUGUAAAUGUAAAAUUAAAGAGCUGAGAGAGCCGGCUGUUUUUAGUGAACCGAGCCAAAAGAAAGAAGCUUUCACUCCCGUCCAGCUGAGGGCGAGAGCGAGCGCGUGCGGCUGGAGAUUUGGGCGUCGCGAGGACGAGGAGGAGGGGUGAUAAAACUUACUGCACGCGCUAUGCUGCUCUCUUUCAGGCGGCGCUGUGAGCGCGAGCGGGUCUCUGUGUUACAGGAUGGAGCUGUUUCUUUUCGGGGGCUCUGGCAGGGAAGUAGGAGGAGGACCACGUGGCUUUGGCUGACUCCUUUCUAGCACUAGGCCAUGUGUGGGCAAUAUGGAGUUAGCUAGCUCCCAGCUGCAGCCUGUGUUUAAGGGCUUCUGUAUGUAGGCAUAAAGGCAGGUGCCUUCUUGCUGAAAGAUCUUGACUGGUAGAUGUCUUACUGAUUGCAGAAGUUUUAGCAACCUUGUCUCACUGAAGCAUCCAGUUGAUGGUGAAAGGUUCAUGGACUGAAUUGGAAAGGAUUCGGUGUUGAUGUACUGCAAGUGAAGAGGAGUGCUGAAUUACUGGAGAAUGAGCAUUUGACUGUUUGUAGUUUCCCAAUUGUAGUUCUUAGAUUCCAUAUCCUGAUCAACUAGGGGUUCCAAUGUGACAAUGUUAAGAGAUUAGUCAUACCAAUUGUGCCCCAGGAAAGAAAUGCAAAAAGUAGUUUAGGUUUGGAAUUUAAAAUGCUUGGAUUUUUUUGUUGUAACUAGGGUCCUGAUUUUUUAUAUUUUUAAUAAAGAAUUGUUACUGCA